RNAcentral lists this ribosomal RNA (448 nucleotides) under uncultured bacterium. RNAcentral's name for it is "partial 16S ribosomal RNA". It matches the Rfam family "Bacterial small subunit ribosomal RNA", at positions 328 to 792 of the family's 1533-position model. The record is from RNAcentral.
GGACCAGACUCCUACGGGAGGCAGCAGUGGGGAAUAUUGCGCAAUGGGGGAAACCCUGACGCAGCAACGCCGCGUGAGUGAAGACGUAUCUCGGUAUGUAAAGCUCUAUCAGCGGGGAAGAAGGAAGACGGUACCCGACUAAGAAGCCCCGGCUAACUACGUGCCAGCAGCCGCGGUAAUACGUAGGGGGCGAGCGUUAUCCGGAUUUACCGGGUGUAAAGGGAGCGUAGACGGCGUCGCAAGUCUGAAGUGAAAGCCCGUGGCUCAACCGCGGAACCGCUUUGGAGACUGCGAGGCUGGAGUGCUGGAGAGGUAAGCGGAAUUCCUGGUGUAGCGGUGAAAUGCGUAGAUAUCAGGAGGAACACCGGUGGCGAAGGCGACUUUCUGGACCGUAACUGACGUUGAGGCACGACAGUGUGGGGAGCAAACAGGAUUAGAUACCCGUGUA